AAAGGAGUUGGCAGAUGGGUAAUGCGAUUAGCUUGAAACUAAAAGUAUACAGGUUUAACUCCUGUACUCCUUUA
This 74-nucleotide transfer RNA is filed under the name Ophiomastix mixta. RNAcentral describes it as "tRNA-Ser". It matches the Rfam family "tRNA". Rfam says of the family: Transfer RNA (tRNA) molecules are approximately 80 nucleotides in length. Lineage: Eukaryota; Metazoa; Echinodermata; Ophiuroidea; Amphilepidida; Ophiocomidae. The record is from RNAcentral.